GACGAACGCUGGCGGCGUGCCUAAUACAUGCAAGUAGAACGCUGAAGAGAGGAGCUUGCUCUUCUUGGAUGAGUUGCGAACGGGUGAGUAACGCGUAGGUAACCUGCCUUGUAGCGGGGGAUAACUAUUGGAAACGAUAGCUAAUACCGCAUAACAAUGGAUGACACAUGUCAUUUAUUUGAAAGGGGCAAUUGCUCCACUACAAGAUGGACCUGCGUUGUAUUAGCUAGUAGGUGAGGUAACGGCUCACCUAGGCGACGAUACAUAGCCGACCUGAGAGGGUGAUCGGCCACACUGGGACUGAGACACGGCCCAGACUCCUACGGGAGGCAGCAGUAGGGAAUCUUCGGCAAUGGGGGCAACCCUGACCGAGCAACGCCCGCGUGAGUGAAGAAAGGGUUUUCGGGAUCGUAAAAGCUCUGUUGUAAAGUCAAAGAAACGAAGU
Molecule: ribosomal RNA, 445 nt
Filed under: Streptococcus sp. oral taxon C65
Lineage: Bacteria; Bacillati; Bacillota; Bacilli; Lactobacillales; Streptococcaceae
Description: bacterial SSU rRNA
Rfam family: Bacterial small subunit ribosomal RNA
Source: RNAcentral